AAUAGAUACCCAGGUAGUCCACGCCGUAAACGAUGAGUGCUAAGUGUUAGAGGGUUUCCGCCCUUUAGUGCUGCAGCUAACGCAUUAAGCACUCCGCCUGGGGAGUACGACCGCAAGGUUGAAACUCAAAGGAAUUGACGGGGGCCCGCACAAGCGGUGGAGCAUGUGGUUUAAUUCGAAGCAACGCGAAGAACCUUACCAGGUCUUGACAUCCUCUGACCUCCCUAGAGAUAGGGCCUUCCCCUUCGGGGGACAGAGUGACAGGUGGUGCAUGGUUGUCGUCAGCUCGUGUCGUGAGAUGUUGGGUUAAGUCCCGCAACGAGCGCAACCCUUGACCUUAGUUGCCAGCAUUCAGUUGGGCACUCUAAGGUGACUGCCGGUGACAAACCGGAGGAAGGUGGGGAUGACGUCAAAUCAUCAUGCCCCUUAUGACCUGGGCUACACACGUGCUACAAUGGAUGGUACAAAGGGCUGCGAGACCGCGAGGUUAAGCCAAUCCCAUAAAACCAUUCUCAGUUCGGAUUGCAGG
This 529-nucleotide ribosomal RNA is filed under the name uncultured bacterium. Its description in RNAcentral is "bacterial SSU rRNA". It matches the Rfam family "Bacterial small subunit ribosomal RNA", at positions 777 to 1304 of the family's 1533-position model. The record is from RNAcentral.